AAUCCAUAGGUUAAUGAGGCGAACCGGGGGAACUGAAACAUCUAAGUACCCCGAGGAAAAGAAAUCAACCGAGAUUCCCCCAGUAGCGGCGAGCGAACGGGGAGGAGCCCAGAGCCUGAAUCAGCAUGUGUGUUAGUGGAAGCGUCUGGAAAGGCGCGCGAUACAGGGUGACAGCCCCGUACACAAAAGCGCAUGUGCUGUGAGCUCGAUGAGUAGGGCGGGACACGUGGUAUCCUGUCUGAAUAUGGGGGGACCAUCCUCCAAGGCUAAAUACUCCUGACUGACCGAUAGUGAACCAGUACCGUGAGGGAAAGGCGAAAAGAACCCCGGCGAGGGGAGUGAAAAAGAACCUGAAACCGUGUACGUACAAGCAGUGGGAGCACCCUUUGGGUGUGACUGCGUACCUUUUGUAUAAUGGGUCAGCGACUUAUAUUCUGUAGCAAGGUUAACCGAAUAGGGGAGCCGGAGGGAAACCGAGUCUUAACCGGGCGUU
This 493-nucleotide ribosomal RNA is filed under the name Salmonella enterica subsp. enterica serovar Enteritidis. RNAcentral describes it as "partial 23S ribosomal RNA". It matches the Rfam family "Bacterial large subunit ribosomal RNA", at positions 161 to 696 of the family's 2925-position model. Lineage: Bacteria; Pseudomonadati; Pseudomonadota; Gammaproteobacteria; Enterobacterales; Enterobacteriaceae. The record is from RNAcentral.